Molecule: ribosomal RNA, 374 nt
Filed under: uncultured bacterium
Lineage: Bacteria
Description: bacterial SSU rRNA
Rfam family: Bacterial small subunit ribosomal RNA
Source: RNAcentral
UACGAAGGGGGCUAGCGUUGUUCGGAAUCACUGGGCGUAAAGGGCGCGUAGGCGGACGAUCAAGUCAGGGGUGAAAUCCCGGGGCUCAACCCCGGAAUUGCCCUUGAUACUGGUUGUCUUGAGAUUGGAAGAGGUAAGUGGAAUUGCGAGUGUAGAGGUGAAAUUCGUAGAUAUUCGCAAGAACACCGGUGGCGAAGGCGACUUACUGGUCCAUAUCUGACGCUGAGGCGCGAAAGCGUGGGGAGCAAACAGGAUUAGAUACCCUGGUAGUCCACGCCGUAAACGAUGGAUGCCAGCUGUUGGGGAGCAUGCUCUUCAGUGGCGCAGACAACUCAUUAAGCAUCCCGCCUGGGGAGUACGGUCGCAAGAUUAAA